RNAcentral lists this ribosomal RNA (589 nucleotides) under uncultured bacterium. Its description in RNAcentral is "bacterial SSU rRNA". It matches the Rfam family "Bacterial small subunit ribosomal RNA", at positions 338 to 944 of the family's 1533-position model. The record is from RNAcentral.
CCUACGGGAGGCAGCAGUGGGGAAUCUUGCGCAAUGGGCGAAAGCCUGACGCAGCAACGCCGCGUGCGGGAAGAAGGCUUUCGGGCUGUAAACCGCUUUCAGCAGGAACGAAAAUGACGGUACCUGCAGAAGAAGGAGCGGCCAACUAUGUGCCAGCAGCCGUGGUGAUACAUAGGCUUCAAGCGUUGUCCGGAUUUAUUGGGCGUAAAGAGUUCGUAGGCGGUCAAGUAAGUCGGGUGUGAAAAUUCUGGGCUCAACCCAGAGACGCCACCCGAUACUGCUUAACUUGAGUUCGAUAGGGGAGUGGGGAAUUCCUAGUGUAGCGGUGAAAUGCGCAGAUAUUAGGAGGAACACCGGUGGCGAAGGCGCCACUCUGGAUCGAUACUGACGCUGAGGAACGAAAGCAUGGGUAGCAAACAGGAUUAGAUACCCUGGUAGUCCAUGCCGUAAACGGUGGGCACUAGGUGUGGGUUUCUAUUAACGAAAUCCGCGCCGUCGCUAACGCAUUAAGUGCCCCGCCUGGGGAGUACGGUCGCAAGCUAAAACUUAAAGAUAGUCGCGUGNGAGNGUGACGAGACGACGAGAGGAG